GUGAGAAUCACAGUGCAGCUCUCCUCUGGCAUGAAGGCUGAGAGAGUCAUGAGCAGUUUUCUGGCCUUUCCCUGCCAAAGGAGAGCUGCCCUGCCAUUCAUUA
RNAcentral lists this microRNA precursor (103 nucleotides) under Sorghum bicolor (sorghum). RNAcentral's name for it is "mir-399 microRNA precursor family". It matches the Rfam family "mir-399 microRNA precursor family". From Rfam's summary of the family: mir-399 was identified in both Arabidopsis thaliana and Oryza sativa computationally and was later experimentally verified. mir-399 is thought to target mRNAs coding for a phosphatase transporter. Lineage: Eukaryota; Viridiplantae; Streptophyta; Magnoliopsida; Poales; Poaceae. The record is from Rfam by way of RNAcentral.